GGCCCCGUCGUCUAGCGGCUAGGACGCAACCCUUUCAAGGUUGAGGUGCGGGUUCGAUUCCCGCCGGGGUCA
Molecule: transfer RNA, 72 nt
Filed under: Phycisphaerales bacterium
Lineage: Bacteria; Pseudomonadati; Planctomycetota; Phycisphaerae; Phycisphaerales
Description: tRNA-Glu
Rfam family: tRNA
About the family: Transfer RNA (tRNA) molecules are approximately 80 nucleotides in length.
Source: RNAcentral